Molecule: unclassified non-coding RNA, 290 nt
Filed under: Hevea brasiliensis (rubber tree)
Lineage: Eukaryota; Viridiplantae; Streptophyta; Magnoliopsida; Malpighiales; Euphorbiaceae
Source: RNAcentral
AAACAUAUUUUCCAACUCUGAAAUUCAAAGAUUCUACUCACUCAUAUUAGUAUUUAUAAGAGAAAUUAAUAGAAAAGUAAAGAAAAACAUGAUGAGAGGACUAAAAAUAGAGAAACCCAGGUAGAAGAACCCAAAAUUCUGAGUCUUGAAGCUUCCAGAAAUGGUUGUAGCAACUACUUUUCUUAAGAAUUGAUGGCGUCCUCCUCCCUCCUAUUUUUAUUAUCUUCCUUCCUUUCCUUCUUGUUGUUGCCUCUUUUGGCAAAAACUAAAAAAUGAUGCUUUUAUAUGGU